This is a long non-coding RNA of Homo sapiens (human), 1326 nucleotides long. Ensembl annotates it as long intergenic non-protein coding RNA 928. The record is from Ensembl. Lineage: Eukaryota; Metazoa; Chordata; Mammalia; Primates; Hominidae.
GGGCUGGGCUCAGGUGGGUGAUUCUUUUGGACUAAUUCAUGUGGCUGCAAUUGGAGCUGGAUGAUCUAAAUGGUCUCACUCCUAGGUCUGGCUGUUGAUGUUGGCUGUUGGCUGAGCCAGGGGCCGCCAGCAGGCUAGCAUGGGCUCUUCACUCAGCAGCAGGGUUCCCCAAGAGGACAAGCCCAACACACAUGUGCUUUUCAAGCCUGUGAUUAUCAGGCUUGAAAUACUGCAACAUCUGCUGCAAUCAGUAACAACCACAUAAGAAAGCAAUGACAAGUUAUGAUUACUGCUCUGGAGGGAGUGAGCAGGAUGCUGUGAGAGAGGGUUACUAUUCCAAGUGGCACCUGGGCCAGCAGCAUUGGCAUCACCUGGGACUUGUGAGAAAUCCAGCAUCUCAGGCUCCACUGCAGGUCUCCUAAAUCAGAAUCUACAGUUUAACAAGAUCCCCAGCAGAUGUGUGUGUAAGGUUUAUAGAGAGAAGAUUCAAGCCUCAACAGGCCAGGUCAGUUGGACAAGGUGACUUUUAAGCCCUCUUCUAGCUUCAUGAAAACAGAUCUGAAACUUGCCUGAUCUCAGAAAUGGUAGUAAAAACACCAUGUACCUGAAUGGUCUGGUGGCAGGUAUGUCCUGUGCACUUAGUAUUCUCUAAGUUCUGGGAGGGGCAGGUUAUCUGCCAGUAAGAGGCAGGAGAUUCCAGCAUCCUGGUGUGCUUAACAGUAUCAUCUCAUUCACCAGACAGGCAGCCCUUGUGCCUCUCCACUAAGGCUAACUGCCAGGAGGAUAAGGUGUGGGUGGGUUUUAUUCACUGCUCCAUCCUCAGAGGCUAGCAAAAUGCCUGGAAGAGGGAGAAAUCUCUAGUGUUUAUAGACAGACCAACACUCGUACCCUGAAAGGACACAAUACCACAGGGGAUUGGUAGAGGUAAUGAUUACAGGCAACAGAUUGUUCAAAACAACUAUAUUUAGACAAGUAUAUUUUUGCAAAACAGCGAAAGCUCAGUGUUCCUUUCAAAAUGAAAACUUUCCUUUUCCAUACCUCACUAUCAAUUAUUUCAGUCUCAGAUAUGCCCCGUUCUGUUUCUCCCACAAUAUUUGACUUAAUUAACAAUACAGUCGAUUAUUUACAAGGAAGUUAUUUCUAAAACUGUAGUUCAAAAUCACAUCUGAUUUUUUCACCUGACUUUUGUGGUAUAGUUGUUUUUGUUUUUAAUGAUGUUGCCGGGGUUCACUUUUCCCAAAAGUAGUUUUUAAGAGUAAAAAACUGGGGGGAAAUCAUAAAUGGCCAAAGAGGUUAAAUAAAUUAUGUUACCUUCAUUAAGUAAAA